RNAcentral lists this ribosomal RNA (274 nucleotides) under uncultured bacterium. RNAcentral's name for it is "partial 16S ribosomal RNA". It matches the Rfam family "Bacterial small subunit ribosomal RNA", at positions 523 to 796 of the family's 1533-position model. The record is from RNAcentral.
AUACGGAGGGUGCAAGCGUUAAUCGGAAUUACUGGGCGUAAAGCGCGCGUAGGCGGUUUGAUCAGUCGGAUGUGAAAGCCCUGGGCUCAACCUGGGAACUGCAUUCGAUACUGUCAGACUAGAAUAUGGUAGAGGGUAGUGGAAUUCCUGGUGUAGCGGUGAAAUGCGUAGAUAUCAGGAGGAACAUCAGUGGCGAAGGCGGCUACCUGGACUCAAACUGACGCUGAGGAACGAAAGCGUGGGUAGCAAACAGGAUUAGAAACCCUAGUAGUCC